RNAcentral lists this ribosomal RNA (497 nucleotides) under uncultured bacterium. RNAcentral's name for it is "partial 16S ribosomal RNA". It matches the Rfam family "Bacterial small subunit ribosomal RNA", at positions 28 to 507 of the family's 1533-position model. The record is from RNAcentral.
GAUGAACGCUGGCGGCGUGCCUAAUACAUGCAAGUCGAGCGAACAGACGAGGAGCUUGCUCCUCUGACGUUAGCGGCGGACGGGUGAGUAACACGUGGAUAACCUACCUAUAAGACUGGGAUAACUUCGGGAAACCGGAGCUAAUACCGGAUAACAUGUUGAACCGCAUGGUUUAACAGUGAAAGACGGUCUUGCUGUCACUUAUAGAUGGAUCCGCGCCGCAUUAGCUAGUUGGUAAGGUGACGGCUUACCAAGGCAACGAUGCGUAGCCGACCUGAGAGGGUGAUCGGCCACACUGGAACUGAGACACGGUCCAGACUCCUACGGGAGGCAGCAGUAGGGAAUCUUCCGCAAUGGGCGAAAGCCUGACGGAGCAACGCCGCGUGAGUGAAGAAGGUCUUCGGAUCGUAAAACUCUGUUAUUAGGGAAGAACAAAUGUGUAAGUAACUAUGCACGUCUUGACGGUACCUAAUCAGAAAGCCACGGCUAACUACGUG